AGGCUUUGAUCCUGGCUCAGGAUGAACGCUGGCGGUAUGCUUAACACAUGCAAGUCGAACGGACUCUUCGGAGUUAGUGGCGGACGGGUGAGUAAAGCGUGAGAAUCUGCCUCUAGGUCGGGGACAACAGUUGGAAACGACUGCUAAUCCCGGAUGAGCCGGCGGGUAAAAGAUUAAUUGCCUAGAGAGGAGCUCGCGUCUGAUUAGCUAGUUGGUGAGGUAAAGGCUCACCAAGGCGACGAUCAGUAGCUGUUCUGAGAGGAAGAACAGCCACACUGGGACUGAGACACGGCCCAGACUCCUACGGGAGGCAGCAGUGGGGAAUUUUCCGCAAUGGGCGAAAGCCUGACGGAGCAAUACCGCGUGAGGGAAGAAGGCCUUUGGGUCGUAAACCUCUUUUCUCAGGGAAGAAGUUCUGACGGUACCUGAGGAAAAAGCCUCGGCUACAUCCGUGC
This 455-nucleotide ribosomal RNA is filed under the name uncultured Spirulina sp. Its description in RNAcentral is "bacterial SSU rRNA". It matches the Rfam family "Bacterial small subunit ribosomal RNA", at positions 8 to 508 of the family's 1533-position model. The record is from RNAcentral. Lineage: Bacteria; Bacillati; Cyanobacteriota; Cyanophyceae; Spirulinales; Spirulinaceae.